GGAUUCAAUUGCAAGAACUACAGAGUGAAGCAAAACGGCCAUUGUAAAGAAUACUUCCCAUAUGCCAUCAAUUACUAAAUGACGCGGUCUAUACAAAGAAAAGGACAAAUCACAUACUUAAACACAAAUUCUGGAGGUAAAGUAAAAAUGAAGAUUUUUGUGGGUAGUUAUUAUUGACUUUUUUAUUAUUCAGAUUUUUGCGUUUGUGACAUUGCUCGCUGAGGUGCCAGUUAGAAAGUAGCUAAGAGCACAUGUACAUACCAAUGAAAAUGCAUUUUUCUGUCUCAAUUUGACUUUAGGUUAAGUUUGAUAGAUUUCAUGGGAAUUGGCUAUGUGAGCUUGAUGACAGCAAGAGGGAAUUUGAUACAAACAUUAACUUUUGUAAUUACUAAAACAUUAACCAACUAUAUUUUUAGAUGAUUGACAUUCCCUUAAAAAUAGUAGGCUUCAUAUUGUUCCGUAUGGCAUAAGUUGUUUGAUUGUUGAAACUGUGGAACUGUUUUGGUUGGUUGUAUGUUGAAGGCUAGAAUUUCUUCUUUAUUGAUUGUAAGGGAUGUUGAUGGUCAUUUAGUUAGUUGUACAACAUAAGUGGAAAGGAAUUUCGAGAACCUUGGAUAUUUGAGUUCUGUUGUAAAACUUAAUGGAAUAGAGGUUGAACUAACUCAAGCAUUGAGCCAAAUGAAUUGUCCUUUGAUAAUAUCUGAAUAUGAUUUUUAUUUUUUUUUGAACAAGCCAAGAUAAUAUCUGUAUAUGUUGGUUAGCUUCAGACACAAAAUGACCACUAAAGACUUUAUAUAAUCUCUUCAUGUGAAUUUUCAAUAGACUAUGAAGUAUAUGUUUCUUUUUAAACAUGUGAAUUUGAGUAGUUAGGCAAGUUGUCAAUCUACUAAUAAUUGUGUUGCUUAACAAAUAGCCGCCUCUGCAAUGUACUCAAGAAAUAUUGGAGGUGAUUUGCCUUCUAGGGCUGGUGCAAAAUUUAGGUCCAUAAAUUCUGCUUAAUAAAGAUUCUUAAAAAAAGAUCUUAUAAAGCACUUUGUUUCUUGCUUUAUGUACAGGUAUAUUGGUUCAAUGAUAACGGUGGAAGCCUAUAUGGAAUACAGAGUAUUACGAAUUGAUUAUAGUAGAGUUGGAGUCUAAUGGGUAAAAUUACUCAUUAUAUGCUUAUCUUUUUCCUGUAGUAACAUGUUUGGUGAAGUCACCGGUAACGCCUCAGCCGUAG
RNAcentral lists this long non-coding RNA (1219 nucleotides) under Medicago truncatula (barrel medic). Its description in RNAcentral is "long non-coding RNA (MTRU_LNC006092)". The record is from RNAcentral. Lineage: Eukaryota; Viridiplantae; Streptophyta; Magnoliopsida; Fabales; Fabaceae.